UGAGCAAUCUGCCCUUCUCUUCGGAAUAAGCGUUGGAAACGACGUCUAAUGCCGAAUACGACCUCCUUUCGCAUGAUCGGAGGUGGAAAGCUCCGGCGGAGAAGGAUGAGCUCGCGGCCUAUCAGCUAGUUGGUGUGGGUAAUUGCCCACCAAGGCGACGACGGGUAGCCGGCCUGAGAGGGUGACCGGCCACACUGGGACUGAGACACGGCCCAGACUCCUACGGGAGGNAGCG
RNAcentral lists this ribosomal RNA (235 nucleotides) under uncultured bacterium. RNAcentral describes it as "partial 16S ribosomal RNA". It matches the Rfam family "Bacterial small subunit ribosomal RNA", at positions 118 to 353 of the family's 1533-position model. The record is from RNAcentral.